RNAcentral lists this ribosomal RNA (639 nucleotides) under uncultured bacterium. RNAcentral describes it as "bacterial SSU rRNA". The stretch from base 1 to 537 matches the Rfam family "Bacterial small subunit ribosomal RNA", at positions 338 to 873 of the family's 1533-position model. The record is from RNAcentral.
CCUACGGGAGGCAGCAGUGAGGAAUAUUGGACAAUGGGCGCAAGCCUGAUCCAGCCAUGCCGCGUGCAGGAAGACGGUCCUAUGGAUUGUAAACUGCUUUUAUACAGGAAGAAACACCUCUACGUGUAGAGACUUGACGGUACUGUAUGAAUAAGCAUCGGCUAACUCCGUGCCAGCAGCCGCGGUAAUACGGAGGAUGCAAGCGUUAUCCGGAAUCAUUGGGUUUAAAGGGUCCGUAGGCGGUUUAAUAAGUCAGUGGUGAAAGCCCAUCGCUCAACGAUGGAACGGCCAUUGAUACUGUUAAACUUGAAUUAUUAGGAAGUAACUAGAAUAUGUAGUGUAGCGGUGAAAUGCUUAGAGAUUACAUGGAAUACCAAUUGCGAAGGCAGGUUACUACUAAUAUAUUGACGCUGAUGGACGAAAGCGUGGGGAGCGAACAGGAUUAGAUACCCUGGUAGUCCACGCCGUAAACGAUGGAUACUAGCUGUUCGGAGCGAUCUGUAGUGGUCGUAGACGAAGUAGAGUAAGUAUACCACCGUCGGGGUUACGGGUUCGGUCGAGAAGUAGAACGUACGAACGUAGUAAGUUAGUACGGACGUAGAGACGUUAGCCGACGGACGACGACGAGGGAGGAGGGAG